UCAGGCACGAAAGCGUGGGGAGCAAACAGGAUUAGAUACCCUGGUAGUCCACGCCCUAAACGAUGCUCACUAGGUGUUGGGGAAGCGAUUCCUUGGUACCGUAGCUAACGCGUGAAGUGAGCCGCCUGGGGAGUACGGCCGCAAGGUUAAAACUCAAAGGAAUUGACGGGGACCCGCACAAGCGGUGGAUGAUGUGGAUUAAUUCGAUGCAACGCGAACAACCUUACCUACCCUUGACAUGUCCGAGAGCCUGCUGAAAGGUGGGUGUGCCCGAAAGGGAAUCGGAACACAGGUGCUGCAUGGCUGUCGUCAGCUCGUGUCGUGGGAUGUUGGGUUAAGUCCCGCAACGAGCGCAACCCUUGUCCCUAGUUGCUACGCAAGGGCACUCUAGGGAGACUGCCGGUGACAAACCGGAGGAAGGUGGGGAUGACGUCAAGUCCUCAUGGCCCUUAUGGGUAGGGCUUCACACGUCAUACAAUGGUCGGUACAGAGGGUCGCCAACCCGCGAGGGGGAGCCAAUCCCACAAAGCCGAUCGUAGUCCGGAUUGCAGUCUGCAACUCGACUGCAUGAAGUCGGAAUCGCUAGUAAUCGUGGAUCAGCAUGUCACGGUGAAUACGUUCCCGGGUCUUGUACACACCGCCCGUCACACCAUGGGAGCGGGAUGUACCAGAAGCAGCUAGCCUAACCGCAAGGAGGGCGGUUGCCACGGUGCGUUUCGUGACUGGGGUGAAGUCGUAACAAGGUAACCGUA
Molecule: ribosomal RNA, 752 nt
Filed under: uncultured bacterium
Lineage: Bacteria
Description: bacterial SSU rRNA
Rfam family: Bacterial small subunit ribosomal RNA
Source: RNAcentral